CGGCUAACUAUGUGCCCCCAGCCGCGGUAAUACAUAGGGUGCAAGCGUUGUCCGGAAUUAUUGGGCGUAAAGAGCUCGUAGGUCGUUUGUUACGUCGGAUGUGAAAACCUGAGGCUCAACCUCAGGCCUGCAUUCGAUACGGGCAAACUAGAGUUUGGUAGGGGAGACUGGAAUUCCUGGUGUAGCGGUGGAAUGCGCAGAUAUCAGGAGGAACACCAAUGGCGAAGGCAGGUCUCUGGGCCAAUACUGACACUGAGGAGCGAAAGUCUGGGGAGCGAACAGGAUUAGAUACCCUGGUAGUCCAGACCGUAAACGGUGGGCACUAGUUGUGGGAACCUUCCACGGUUUCUGCGACGCAGCUAACGCAUUAAGUGCCCCGCCUGGGGAGUACGAUCGCAAGAUUAAAACUC
This 410-nucleotide ribosomal RNA is filed under the name uncultured bacterium. Its description in RNAcentral is "bacterial SSU rRNA". It matches the Rfam family "Bacterial small subunit ribosomal RNA", at positions 494 to 902 of the family's 1533-position model. The record is from RNAcentral.